UGGGCCAUGAGAAUCAGGAGCUGGCCUAUAAAAGAUGACAGAGACACUGGCAUUUCCACCUGCCCUACAACCCUCCUCCCCUGCUGCUGGGCUAAGCGGAAGGAUAGAUACUUAGCCAGCAAGUGAGACAGGAAAUCCACUCUCUGACAUGUGAACUAGGAGGCUAACUUGAGCCUUCUACAUUAUAACUGAACGUGCCAGGAUCAGUCGACCCAGAGACUAUGCCAUGGUGACCCCAAAGCAACUAGUCAGCACCAUCCAAGUCCAAC
This 269-nucleotide long non-coding RNA is filed under the name Bos taurus (domestic cattle). Its description in RNAcentral is "long non-coding RNA NONBTAT001880". The record is from RNAcentral. Lineage: Eukaryota; Metazoa; Chordata; Mammalia; Artiodactyla; Bovidae.